This 221-nucleotide long non-coding RNA is filed under the name Panax ginseng (ginseng). RNAcentral describes it as "long non-coding RNA (PGIN_LNC013628)". Lineage: Eukaryota; Viridiplantae; Streptophyta; Magnoliopsida; Apiales; Araliaceae. The record is from RNAcentral.
CUAAUCAUAACCAUAUUGAUGGUGAUGGUGGUGCAUGGUGUAAUAAGGUCUGCUGCUGGUGCGACUAAGAUUCAAGAGAUCAUCCAUCUAUCUGUGCCAUUGAAAUUUCUGAUUUUCCCACCAACUUUUCUUUCUAUUCGGAUAUAGAAUUAAAAUGAGAAUUGAAUGAACUACAGACUAAGAGAGAGAGGCGUGGGAAGUGGUGGCCUUGUGGGUGUGUG